RNAcentral lists this ribosomal RNA (216 nucleotides) under uncultured bacterium. RNAcentral's name for it is "partial 16S ribosomal RNA". It matches the Rfam family "Bacterial small subunit ribosomal RNA", at positions 794 to 1018 of the family's 1533-position model. The record is from RNAcentral.
UCCACGCCGUAAACGAUGUCUACUAGGUUGCGGGUGGUUCUGACCACAGUCGCGACCGAAGCAAAAGUGUUAAGUAGACCGCCUGGGGAGUACGGUCGCAAGGCUAAAACUCAAAGGAAUUGACGGGGGCUCACACAAGCGGUGGAGCAUGUGGAUUAAUUCGAAGCAACGCGCAGCCACCUGGGUUUGACAUGAUGAUGGAAACAGAGUCGGUUG